AGCGAACGCUGGCGGCAGGCCUAACACAUGCAAGUCGAACGAACUCUUCGGAGUUAGUGGCGGACGGGUGAGUAACACGUGGGAACGUGCCUUUUGGUUCGGAAUAACUCAGGGAAACUUGUGCUAAUGCCGAAUGUGCCCUUCGGGGGAAAGAUUUAUCGCCAUUAGAGCGGCCCGCGUCUGAUUAGCUAGUUGGUGAGGUAACGGCUCACCAAGGCGACGAUCAGUAGCUGGUCUGAGAGGAUGACCAGCCACACUGGGACUGAGACACGGCCCAGACUCCUACGGGAGGCAGCAGUGGGGAAUCUUGCGCAAUGGGCGAAAGCCUGACGCAGCCAUGCCGCGUGAAUGAUGAAGGUCUUAGGAUUGUAAAAUUCUUUCACCGGGGACGAUAAUGACGGUACCCGGAGAAGAAGCCCCGGCUAACUUCGCG
Molecule: ribosomal RNA, 433 nt
Filed under: uncultured bacterium
Lineage: Bacteria
Description: partial 16S ribosomal RNA
Rfam family: Bacterial small subunit ribosomal RNA
Source: RNAcentral